AUCAAACACCAACUGUGAACAAUACAAACAUUUGGAAAUAAUUGAAAGAAAUAACUGAAAUACUUUCUUAUUAAAACAAAGUUUACCUUUUUAAACAGCGGCAUUUCAAUCUACAGACAAUAGUUACCUGAUUUUUCAAGAAACCACCCUGUAGUGUUUAGCAAAGAUCCUGAACUCUCCUGCGUGCGAGGAAUGGCCGUUUUCUGCUAAGAUCUCUGGGAAGGAGGAGAUCGGAGCACUUGGAGAAAACCCACGUGUUCCACAAGGAGGACCCACAGAUUCCUCAGAGAACUCGACCUCUGGAACUCCCUGAGCUGAAAUACUGUGGUGCUCAUUGCCACGAUGCCGUGGAUCAAGUGAGCUGUGCCAGUUUGGAAGUUCUGCAAACUCAGGCAGCCACGAAACAAAGAAACCCAAAAGAACCAAUAAAAAUAGACCGUUAAACUGCCACUGUGCAGAGACAAAAAGAACAAAUCAUGCAAACAGUAAAUAACAUUCUGAACUGAUGACUGCAAGGAGAGUCCAAAACCCAUAGUUCGGUGCAGAGUCGAGUAAACAUCAUGGAGCAGUGAGCUGAACCCCAACACGCUGACCUUUUCAAUCUGACCCAACAACUAAAUCAAUGCCCAAACAGUCACCUCGAUACACCCUGGGGCCCGGAUUCCGCCAACUCGAUUCGACCUGUAUCCGCCCUUUCUGAUUUGGCAUGGCACCUAAAUCACCGCCUAAGUACCUGGUUCAGUGGUCUUGAUAUGCACUGGCCCCUGGACCUCACCUCCUCGACUCGGCCCAGUGCUUAAGUCAAUUGAACCUCGUGUCUUGCUCGCUCUUGGUGAGGGAUUCACCAUCUCAGCUUGCCUCGAUUCGACCACAUCGAAUUGUCUCCAAGUCCAAAGGGAAGUCG
This is a long non-coding RNA of Hypanus sabinus (Atlantic stingray), 904 nucleotides long. RefSeq lists it as uncharacterized. The record is from RefSeq and is a predicted model, not a curated record. NCBI's taxonomy places the organism in Eukaryota, Metazoa, Chordata, Chondrichthyes, Myliobatiformes, Dasyatidae. The transcript is spliced from 3 exons.